This 217-nucleotide ribosomal RNA is filed under the name uncultured bacterium. RNAcentral describes it as "partial 16S ribosomal RNA". It matches the Rfam family "Bacterial small subunit ribosomal RNA", at positions 104 to 334 of the family's 1533-position model. The record is from RNAcentral.
CGGGGUGAGUAACGCGUAGGUAUCUGUCCAUGGGUGGGGGAUAACAGCGGGAAACUGUUGCUAAUACCGCAUGACACCUGAGGGUCAAAGGCGCAAGUCGCCUGUGGAGGAGCCUGCGUCCGAUUAGCUUGUUGGUGGGGUAAUGGCCUACCAAGGCGACGAUCGGUAGCUGGUCUGAGAGGAUGAUCAGCCACACUGGGACUGAGACACGGCCCAG